AUUGAACGCUGGCGGCAUGCUUUACACAUGCAAGUCGAACGGUAACAGGCCGCAAGGUGCUGACGAGUGGCGAACGGGUGAGUAAUGCAUCGGAACGUGCCCAGUCGUGGGGGAUAACUACUCGAAAGAGUAGCUAAUACCGCAUACGAUCUAUGGAUGAAAGCGGGGGAACGUAAGGCCUCGCGCGAUUGGAGCGGCCGAUGUCAGAUUAGGUAGUUGGUGGGGUAAAGGCUCACCAAGCCAACGAUCUGUAGCUGGUCUGAGAGGACGACCAGCCACACUGGGACUGAGACACGGCCCAGACUCCUACGGGAGGCAGCAGUGGGGAAUUUUGGACAAUGGGCGCAAGCCUGAUCCAGCAAUGCCGCGUGCAGGAAGAAGUCCUUCGGGUUGUAAACUGCUUUUGUACGGAACGAAACGGCUCUGGUUAAUACCCGGGGCUAAUGACGGUACCGUAAGAAUAAGCACCGGCUAACUACGUG
RNAcentral lists this ribosomal RNA (482 nucleotides) under uncultured bacterium. Its description in RNAcentral is "partial 16S ribosomal RNA". It matches the Rfam family "Bacterial small subunit ribosomal RNA", at positions 30 to 507 of the family's 1533-position model. The record is from RNAcentral.